GUGAAUCAUCGAAUUUUUGAACGUAAAUUGCGCUUCCUGGCAUCCCGGGGAGUAUGCCUGUUUGAGGGUCAGUAUUAAUAAAAACUCGGUUUAGUUACAAAUUGUGACGUUUACGGGGUUUGGGCGAUCUUAACCUUUUUGGUUAAGAGGCUUAAACUGGACCUUUUUUACUCUUUUUUACAUGUACAU
Molecule: unclassified non-coding RNA, 189 nt
Filed under: Glomeraceae sp.
Lineage: Eukaryota; Fungi; Glomeromycota; Glomeromycetes; Glomerales; Glomeraceae
Description: partial contains 5.8S ribosomal RNA and internal transcribed spacer 2
Rfam family: 5.8S ribosomal RNA (bases 1-71)
Source: RNAcentral